Molecule: ribosomal RNA, 228 nt
Filed under: uncultured bacterium
Lineage: Bacteria
Description: partial 16S ribosomal RNA
Rfam family: Bacterial small subunit ribosomal RNA
Source: RNAcentral
GAUCAUGGCUCAGGAUGAACGCUAGCUACAGGCUUAACACAUGCAAGUCGAGGGGCAGCAUGAACUUAGCUUGCUAAGUUUGAUGGCGACCGGCGUACGGGUGAGUAACGCGUAUCCAACCUGCCCUUGUCCACCGGAUAACCCAUCGAAAGGCGGACUAACACGGUAUGCAGUCCACAGCAGGCAUCUAACGUGGACGAAAUGCGAAGGAGAAGGAUGGGGAUGCGU